Molecule: ribosomal RNA, 253 nt
Filed under: uncultured bacterium
Lineage: Bacteria
Description: partial 16S ribosomal RNA
Rfam family: Bacterial small subunit ribosomal RNA
Source: RNAcentral
UACAGAGGGGGCAAGCGUUAUUCGGAAUUAUUGGGCGAAAAGGGCGCGUAGGCGGCCUGGCAAGUGGAAGGUGAAAUCCCUCGGCUUAACCGAGGAACUGCCCUCCAAACUGCUUGGCUUGAGUCCGGGAGAGGUGAGUGGAAUUCCCAGUGUAGCGGUGAAAUGCGUAGAUAUUGGGAGGAACACCAGUGGCGAAGGCGGCUCACUGGACCGGAACUGACGCUGAGGCGCGAAAGCGUGGGGAGCAAACGGG